This 85-nucleotide transfer RNA is filed under the name Planctomycetota bacterium. RNAcentral describes it as "Planctomycetes bacterium tRNA-Ser". It matches the Rfam family "tRNA". Rfam says of the family: Transfer RNA (tRNA) molecules are approximately 80 nucleotides in length. Their secondary structure includes four short double-helical elements and three loops (D, anti-codon, and T loops). The record is from RNAcentral. Lineage: Bacteria; Pseudomonadati; Planctomycetota.
GGAGGGUUGGCUGAGCGGUCGAAAGCACCUGAUUUGAAAUCAGGAGGCCCGCAAGGGCUCGGGGGUUCGAAUCCCUCACCCUCCG